AACGAACGCUGGCGGCAUGCCUAACACAUGCAAGUCGAACGAGACCUUCGGGUCUAGUGGCGCACGGGUGCGUAACGCGUGGGAACCUGCCUUUAGGUUCGGAAUAACUCAGAGAAAUUUGAGCUAAUACCGGAUGAUGUCUUCGGACCAAAGAUCUAUCGCCUUUAGAUGGGCCCGCGUUGGAUUAGCUAGUUGGUGGGGUAAAGGCCUACCAAGGCGACGAUCCAUAGCUGGUCUGAGAGGAUGAUCAGCCACACUGGGACUGAGACACGGCCCAGACUCCUACGGGAGGCAGCAGUGGGGAAUAUUGGACAAUGGGCGAAAGCCUGAUCCAGCAAUGCCGCGUGAGUGAUGAAGGCCUUAGGGUUGUAAAGCUCUUUUACCCGAGAUGAUAAUGACAGUAUCGGGAGAAUAAGCUCCGGCUAACUCCGUG
Molecule: ribosomal RNA, 433 nt
Filed under: uncultured bacterium
Lineage: Bacteria
Description: partial 16S ribosomal RNA
Rfam family: Bacterial small subunit ribosomal RNA
Source: RNAcentral